UACGGGGGGGGCAAGCGUUGUUCGGAAUUACUGGGCGUAAAGGGCUCGUAGGCGGCCAACUAAGUCAGACGUGAAAUCCCUCGGCUUAACCGGGGAACUGCGUCUGAUACUGGAUGGCUAGAGGUUGGGAGAGGGAUGCGGAAUUCCAGGUGUAGCGGUGAAAUGCGUAGAUAUCGGGAGGAACACCAGUAGCGAAGGCGGCACUCUGGGCCGGAACUGACGCUGAGGAGCGAAAGCGUGGGUAGCAAACAGG
This 253-nucleotide ribosomal RNA is filed under the name uncultured bacterium. RNAcentral's name for it is "partial 16S ribosomal RNA". It matches the Rfam family "Bacterial small subunit ribosomal RNA", at positions 524 to 776 of the family's 1533-position model. The record is from RNAcentral.